GAUGAAACUUUACUGACUUCUUCGGAAUGAUUUAAAGCGGAUUAGUGGCGAACGGGUGAGUAACGCGUGAGUAACCUGCCUUACACAAGGGGAUAGCCUCUGGAAACGGAGAAUAAUACCCUAUGAAACCAGACAAUCGCAUGAUAAUCUGGUCAAAAUGUUUAGUGGUGUAAGAUGGGACUUGCGUCUGAUUAGCUAGUUGGUGAGAUAACAGCUCACCAAGGCAACGAUCAGUAGCCGGCUUGAGAGAGUGUACGGCCACAUUGGGACUGAGACACGGCCCAGACUCCUACGGGAGGCAGCAGUGGGGAAUUUUGCACAAUGGGGGAAACCCUGAUGCAGCGACGCCGCGUGAUUUAGAAGGCCUUCGGGUUGUAAAAAUCUUUUGUAUAGGAAGAAAACGACAGUACUAUACGAAUAAGGUCCGGCUAAUUACGUGCCAGCAGCCGCGGUAAUACGUAAGGACCGAGCGUUGUCCGGAAUCAUUGGGCGUAAAGGGUACGUAGGCGGGUUUUUAAGUUAGAAGUCAAAGGCUAUAGCUCAACUAUAGUAAGCUUCUAAAACUGGGAACCUUGAGUAAUGGAAGGGAAAGUGGAAUUCCUAGUGUAGCGGUGGAAUGCGCAGAUAUUAGGAGGAAUACCGGUGGCGAAGGCGACUUUCUGGCCAUUAACUGACGCUGAGGUACGAAAGCGUGGGUAGCAAACAGGAUUA
Molecule: ribosomal RNA, 711 nt
Filed under: uncultured Eubacteriales bacterium
Lineage: Bacteria; Bacillati; Bacillota; Clostridia; Eubacteriales
Description: bacterial SSU rRNA
Rfam family: Bacterial small subunit ribosomal RNA
Source: RNAcentral